RNAcentral lists this ribosomal RNA (253 nucleotides) under uncultured bacterium. RNAcentral's name for it is "partial 16S ribosomal RNA". It matches the Rfam family "Bacterial small subunit ribosomal RNA", at positions 524 to 776 of the family's 1533-position model. The record is from RNAcentral.
UACGAAGGGGGCUAGCGUUGUUCGGAUUUACUGGGCGGAAGGCGCACGUAGGCGGAUCGUUAAGUCGGGGGUGAAAUCCUGGAGCUCAACUCCAGAACUGCCUUCGAUACUGGCGAUCUAGAGUCCGGAAGAGGUGAGUGGAACUCCUAGUGUAGAGGUGGAAUUCGUAGAUAUUAGGAAGAACACCAGUGGCGAAGGCGGCUCACUGGUCCGGUACUGACGCUGAGGUGCGAAAGCGUGGGGAGCAAACAGG